GACGAACGCUGGCGGCGUGCUUAACACAUGCAAGUCGAACGGUGAAGGGACCAGCUUGCUGGUUCUGGAUGAGUGGCGAACGGGUGAGUAACACGUGAGUAACCUGCCCCCUUCUUCUGGAUAACCGCAUGAAAGUGUGGCUAAUACGGGAUAUUCUGGGUCUGUCGCAUGGCGGGCCCGGGAAAGAUAUUGCUUCGGUGGGGGAUGGGCUCGCGGCCUAUCAGCUUGUUGGUGGGGUGAUGGCCUACCAAGGCGGUGACGGGUAGCCGGCCUGAGAGGGUGGACGGUCACACUGGGACUGAGACACGGCCCAGACUCCUACGGGAGGCAGCAGUGGGGAAUAUUGCACAAUGGGCGCAAGCCUGAUGUAGCGACGCCGCGUGAGGGAUGGAGGCCUUCGGGUUGUAAACCUCUUUCGCCAGUGAAGCAGGCCUGCUCCUUGUGGGUGGGUUGACGGUAGCUGGAUAAGAAGCGCCGGCUAACUACGUG
RNAcentral lists this ribosomal RNA (489 nucleotides) under uncultured bacterium. RNAcentral's name for it is "partial 16S ribosomal RNA". It matches the Rfam family "Bacterial small subunit ribosomal RNA", at positions 28 to 507 of the family's 1533-position model. The record is from RNAcentral.